CAGUAGCCACGGUAAUACGUAGGUGGCAAGCGUUGUCCGGAAUUAUUGGGCGUAAAGGGCUCGCAGGCGGUUUCUUAAGUCUGAUGUGAAAGCCCCCGGCUUAACCGGGGAGGGUCAUUGGAAACUGGGAAACUUGAGUGCAGAAGAGGAGAGUGGAAUUCCACGUGUAGCGGUGAAAUGCGUAGAGAUGUGGAGGAACACCAGUGGCGAAGGCGACUCUCUGGUCUGUAACUGACGCUGAGGAGCGAAAGCGUGGGGAGCGAACAGGAUUAGAUACCCCAGUAGUCCCUGUCUCUUAUAC
Molecule: ribosomal RNA, 301 nt
Filed under: uncultured bacterium
Lineage: Bacteria
Description: partial 16S ribosomal RNA
Rfam family: Bacterial small subunit ribosomal RNA
Source: RNAcentral